GAUCGUCAGCAAUGCCUCCUGCACCACCAACUGCUUAGCGCCCCUGGCCAAGGUCAUCCAUGACAAUUUUGGUAUCGUGGAAGGACUCAUGACCACUGUCCACGCCAUCACUGCCACCCAGAAGACCGUGGAUGGACCCUCCGGGAAACUGUGGCGUGAUGGCACUGGAGCUCUCCAGAACAUCAUCCCUGCCUCUACUAGCGCUGCCAAGGCCAUGGGCAAGGUCAUCCCUGAGCUGAACGGGAAGCUCACUGGCAUGGCCUUCCGUGUCCCCACUGCCAAUGUGUCAGUGGUGGACCUGACCUGCUGUCUGGAAAAACCUGCCAAAUAUGAUGACAUCAAGAAGGUGGUGAAGCAGGCAACGGAGGGCCCCCUCAAGGGCAUCCUGGGAUACACUGAGCACCAGGUGGCGUCCUCUGACUUCAACAGCGACACCCAUUCUUCCACCUUCGAUGCUGGGGCUGGCAUUGCCCUCAACAACCACUUCGUCAAGCUCAUGUCCUGGUAUGACAAUGAAUUUGGCUACAGCAACAGGGUGGUGGACCUCAUGUCCCACAUGGCCUCCAAGGAGUAAGACCCCUGGACCACCAGCCCCAGCGAGAGCACGAGA
RNA transcript from Sapajus apella (tufted capuchin), 610 nucleotides. It is a transcript of the gene named glyceraldehyde-3-phosphate dehydrogenase pseudogene, with no coding region annotated. NCBI's taxonomy places the organism in Eukaryota, Metazoa, Chordata, Mammalia, Primates, Cebidae. The transcript has a single exon. The record is from RefSeq and is a predicted model, not a curated record.